Long non-coding RNA from Pristis pectinata (smalltooth sawfish), 1120 nucleotides. RefSeq lists it as uncharacterized. NCBI's taxonomy places the organism in Eukaryota, Metazoa, Chordata, Chondrichthyes, Rhinopristiformes, Pristidae. The transcript is spliced from 2 exons. The record is from RefSeq and is a predicted model, not a curated record.
CAACAAUAGACACAAGGUGAGGAGAGGCACAUCCAUCAGAGCUGGCACUGGAUAGUCUCUGGGUCUCCAGGAGCCUGCUUGCCAUCUCGCCCGAGGGCGCAGUGGCUUCUGUUGGAACACUCAGCGAUGGGUGGCUGGGAAUUAGACCCCCACCAGUCACUACCCAGGCAUCCAGGAGCUUUGAAGAACCCUCCAGGCCAGUGAGAUCAGAGUGAAUGAUGUCCAUCGGCAUGCACGGAGUUACUGUCGGCUGAUCAGCAUCACACGGCAUCACAAGCCUCCAGCGCUCCAGAGAAAACAACCCAAGUUUGUCCAGCCUCUAACAAUGCCACACUUUCAGAGGUACAGAUGAGAGACUGAACUGAGACCCCACCUGCUCUGUUAUCUGGAUGCAAACAAUCCCACGGUAAUGCUCAAGGAGAAAGUGAGUCAUUCCGGUAUCCUAGCCAGUAUCCUGUCUUCAACCAACAUCAAUCAAACAGAUUUCUUACUUCACGUGGGAGUUAGCACUGUGGUUGCUCUGUUGCCUACGUUACAGCAGUGACCACUCUUCAGAAGUCCUACAUUGGCUGCAGUGAUGCUUUGGGAGCUCCUGAGUUUGUAAAAGGCAAGGGACACUGGCCGACCUAGAGCGCGGACUUGACUCCACACACAUUUGCCUGCAGGGAGACAAGGAGCGCAGCCAAAUCAGAGUCUGUCACCAACAGUGGAGAUCACUUGCUGCAAUGAAAGGUGUUUUGAGGAGCCAUUUCCCCUCUGCCCAGCUGGAAGUAGCUACUCCUUCAGGAUGCACGGUGAAGUUCAGACCAGCAGUCUCCAUCCCCAGUUACAGUGCUGAUGGGCAGAACAUUCCACCUUCCUUCGAUGGUACAAACCAACAGGCUCAAGGACAGCUUCUAUCCCACUGUUAGAAGACCACUGAAUGCUCCCCAAAAUUGUCUGCCUGCACUUCACUUUCUCUGUAGCUGUGACACUUCUUUCUGCACUCUGUUAUUGUUUUCCCUUGUACUACCUCAGUGCACUGAUGUGAUGAAAUGAUCUGUAUGGGUGGCACACAAAACAAAGUUUUUCGCUGUACCUCAGUACAUAUAACAAUAAUAAACCAAUUUACCUAUCUCCA